AGUCGAGCGGUAGAGAGAAGCUUGCUUCUCUUGAGAGCGGCGGACGGGUGAGUAAUGCCUAGGAAUCUGCCUGGUAGUGGGGGAUAACGUUCGGAAACGGGCGCUAAUACCGCAUACGUCCUACGGGAGAAAGCAGGGGACCUUCGGGCCUUGCGCUAUCAGAUGAGCCUAGGUCGGAUUAGCUAGUUGGUGAGGUAAUGGCUCACCAAGGCGACGAUCCGUAACUGGUCUGAGAGGAUGAUCAGUCACACUGGAACUGAGACACGGUCCAGACUCCUACGGGAGGCAGCAGUGGGGAAUAUUGGACAAUGGGCGAAAGCCUGAUCCAGCCAUGCCGCGUGUGUGAAGAAGGUCUUCGGAUUGUAAAGCACUUUAAGUUGGGAGGAAGGGUUGUAGAUUAAUACUCUGCAAUUUUGACGUUACCGACAGAAUAAGCACCGGCUAACUCUGUGCCAGCAGCCGCGGUAAUACAGAGGGUGCAAGCGUUAAUCGGAAUUACUGGGCGUAAAGCGCGCGUAGGUGGUUUGUUAAGUUGGAUGUGAAAUCCCCGGGCUCAACCUGGGAACUGCAUUCAAAACUGACUGACUAGAGUAUGGUAGAGGGUGGGUGGGAAUUUCCUGUGUA
RNAcentral lists this ribosomal RNA (624 nucleotides) under uncultured Pseudomonas sp. Its description in RNAcentral is "bacterial SSU rRNA". It matches the Rfam family "Bacterial small subunit ribosomal RNA", at positions 60 to 677 of the family's 1533-position model. The record is from RNAcentral. Lineage: Bacteria; Pseudomonadati; Pseudomonadota; Gammaproteobacteria; Pseudomonadales; Pseudomonadaceae.